Molecule: long non-coding RNA, 471 nt
Filed under: Rattus norvegicus (Norway rat)
Lineage: Eukaryota; Metazoa; Chordata; Mammalia; Rodentia; Muridae
Description: long non-coding RNA NONRATT033611
Source: RNAcentral
AUACACUGGAUACUUUCUUUAGGAAAACCAAUGGUGCCCAUUGACUGUGUCUGAAGGAAACUGUUUACAUAGCUACAUGUGGAGUCAUUAUCACAAACCAGACAGACCUGGGAGGGCUCCUCAAACAAAGAUGACCUACCUUUCCUGGCCAGCACAGAAGUGAAUUAACUGAAGACUACCCAGAAUUCAGAGGGAGGAAUAAUAAAUGGCAUCCAUCAGGAAAGAUCCAGAGAUUUGAAACCAGAAGGAUUCCAGUUGAAUCACAGCUUGUCCACAGAGAGCAAUCAUCAAGUUGGCUGCGUUGAGCGGCAGGCUUAAACAGCUCAUUGCUAGCUUCUGAGGAGAGAAAGAACAAACCCUGACCUUUGAGUGGCAUGUGGAAUUUUAAGAGAGAGAAUACAGACAAAGCAGCAUGGGACCUCGUUGGUUAUUAAGAAGUGAUUAAUGUAGGCAAUAAAAGUCUAUAAAAGG